This is a non-coding RNA of Podarcis lilfordi (Lilford's wall lizard), 73 nucleotides long. Lineage: Eukaryota; Metazoa; Chordata; Lepidosauria; Squamata; Lacertidae. The record is from the annotation of a GenBank genome assembly.
GCUGGGAUAGCUCAGUCGGUAGAGCAUGGGACCCUUAACCUCAAGGCCAUGGGUGCAAGCCCCACAUUGAGCA